Drosophila miranda is the source of this 311-nucleotide long non-coding RNA. RefSeq lists it as uncharacterized. The record is from RefSeq and is a predicted model, not a curated record. The transcript has 3 exons. NCBI's taxonomy places the organism in Eukaryota, Metazoa, Arthropoda, Insecta, Diptera, Drosophilidae.
CAGAUAAGUGACGCCUCUCGUGUUGGCACAAAUUGCACAAUGAAAAUUUUGUGUGCUUGAUUUGCCUCAUGCCUCAAAGCACAACUUAAUACUCAAAGGAUACGUGUUUGGCCAUAUGUUUGGAAUUAGGGUAAAGCAUGUUUUACAUGUUCUCGCAACGCAAUCGUCGACUUGGGGGAUGCAGCAAUAAUGAUUUCUACAGAUACGGGUUACGUUUCAAAGAAAGCCAUCGACAGAAUGGUUUUUCUUUCACUUAAUACAAAUUAAUACCGAAGGACCAGCUGGAAUUACCCAAUACAAGUUUUUUUUUU